UGUGUGCGUGCCUGCAUUCGUGUGUGUGUGUGUGUGUGUGUGUGUGUGUGUGUGUGAACUAGCUCUAUCUACUGGAAGCUGUGACUCCCAUCUUCCAGUCAGAGCACUGUAUUUCCUUGGGCUCUGUGAUUGGCUUAGGGCUGAAGAAAUGCCCAUCGGAAAUGCCAAUGAGAGACCAGGGGAAUGCCUGGCUGGCUCGACCUGGUCUCACUUCACAGACCUUCCAGGUCACACCUUUGCAUGGAGUGACUCAAGGAAGCUUCAAGUGAAGAAAGAGUUCCUUAGAUUUUGGCUUUUAACUCCAUAGAAAUCCAACCCAUUCUCACAGAACUGCCUAUACCCAAGUCCCAAAUUACGUCUUGGGAGGACUCUAGGCUGACCCCAGUGUUGAGAGGUUCUCCCGGUGGAGAGUAGACCCUUCGAGAACUGAAGUUGUGUCUUGGUGUGAAGGGAGGGAAAGGUGGAGGGUUCUCCAGGGACAAGGAGGAGAAUACCAUCUCUGCCUGGUGGAUCAAGGAGGGCUUUCUGGAGGAGGUGACGACAAAGAAGGCCCUGAAUGAUGUGUAGAAGUCUGCCCAGGGGAAGUUAGUCCGGUACCCCAGAGAAAAGAUGAGGCUGGGCGGUUGGGGCUUAGGACUAGUCUGUUUGGUGACAGGAGGAUGAUGCUUCGCCAGGGAGGGUACGGUGAUAGGGCUGUCACAGCCUGCAUACUGGAGGGGAUCCUGAGGUCAGAUGGAGGCAGAACUCUUGCAUCCUUUUGGAUCUGUCUUUUGUUUUCCACUUCUUAACAUGGCAAGCAUCUAGCUUUAAAAGAUCCAGUGACCUUUGCCCUCGCAGGUCAGGGAUAGAAGAAUUUGGGGAAGCAAUGGCUAGCACCCCCCCUCCCCGACUCCCAAACCAAACACUGAUCUAUGGCUCUGCGCAGGGAGCACUGUUACUGAGUUCAAAAUAAGAAAACUCUAAGUGUUGUGCUCAGAACCUACAACUCUAGUGCUUAAAGACUUAGGUACAAGAAUAUCUAGUUUGAGGCUAGUCUGGGCUUCAUAGGGACAUCGUCCCCAAAACAAACAAGCAAAAGUAAAGCAGCCAUGGCUUGGGAUGGAAUUGGGUAGUAGAGUUGUUACAUGGCUGGAUGGGUUUGGCCCCAGCACUGUCAAGAAAAACAAACAAACUACCACGAGUAAUUUUCUCCAACCAAAGUGUAGGGGUCACUUUGCCCGACCUCACUAUCAGCUCUGCGGUCGGAACCUCCAGUCAGCACCCUUGUCUUUCUGUCCCUGCUCACACUCCCCUUCCUCCCAUUGGCCAGGUGGCACCAGCACCUGGGGUUCUUGUGGCCUAGCACUGGUGUAUGUCUGACUAGCCUUGCAGGGAUGGCCCAUGGCUGGGCCCAGACGAAGGCUCUGGUGAAAGUAGAUUCUGAACUCUGGUGCUGGGUUUAACUGAUGAGCCGUGGGAGCCCAGGGUACAGCAUUGCUGGGAAGAUCCUGGCGUAGCUGGGGAUAGAUUCUGGGCUCCAGAGUGGCUGAGUUACUUCAGUGCAUGCUCAGCCCGUUUAGCUUUCUAGGCUCUUUCAAUCGAGACUCAGUCUGCCCCUUCUUGUUUCCUAGCCUAUAGCACCCACCCCCACUCCUAGCUUCCAGCCAAGAGCCACUAAGUAACUAUGUAACUAUGUAACGCCUCCAGUCUGCCACUGCCUGUAGGAUAACCUUUCCUGAGUGAAUGAACCAGUGAGAGAGUGCCCAGUAUAGAACCAACUACAGCUCACUCUGAAGCCCACUGCCCUCCCCCGUGAGAGUGCAGUUCCCUUCUCAACCUAGAGGACUCUGGAAGGAAGCAGCAGGGACCUCUGGAGACGCCUCCAUCCAGAUAAGUUCCAGGAAUGCUUAGAGCCCAUUGCAGAGGUUAAGGAUCGGGCUUGGACUGUCCAGUGCUCUAGCCAAUGGGCUGUGAUAAAUGGCUGAGAAGCUAGGAGAACCCGGGCUCUGGCUCUAUCCCCAUUGCCCACUACUCGAUGAAUUCUGCAGCCUCAAGAGAUCACCUCGUGAACACAGAGAGGCCCAGGUUGGAGCUCUGGGAGCUAAUACCUCAAGCCAAAUACUGCACAGAGGUACCAUCAGCCUUCGAGGCUGCAGCUGCCUCUGGCUGAGAGCCAGACCUGAUGGAGGAAAGUGCAGUUGCAUAGAUGGGGACACCCCACCCUGGUAUCAGUGGCUCUGAGAUCAACUGGUUCUGUCUGUGGGCACUGCCCAGUGACCAGCUGGGCCUGUCUCGGAAUGUUGUCUAGAGAGAAGCUGCAGUCCCCGGAGGGCAGGCACUGGAAAGCUGUCCCCACUGCAUGGCACGGUGGGUAGACAACAGCUCCAUUAAAUGGUUCCCAGGUUUACAAGUGGCCACAUAUAUUGUUCUAAGAGUUAGAGAGACAGGCUGCUGCCAUGUUUGUCUUUUGUUCUCAUAAAGGGGGUCAAGACCCUGGGGGAGAGGGAGCAGAUGAGCAUUGGCUUUGACCUUGAGGCUCCGCACUGGCCAGACAAGGGCCCCUCUAGCUCCUUACGCCUCACUCCCCUGUCCUUGUGCGUGGAGGGAAAGGAUCCUCCCAGCUUCUGAGACUGUUGUGAAGAUUAAGUGAAAGGUCACGUCAAACAUCUGAGUGGAGGGAACCCAAACAUCUGCCUUUACUGUCGCAAACAACAAGUGUCCUGCUACAGAGCCUGGCAGGCUCAUCCCCUGAAGAGUCAGCUGUGGCCCAGAGUCACUAGUGCAAGUCUGCAGGCCCAGCUACUCUGGGGCUGAGGCAGGAGGAGUCCUCGACAACAGGAGUUCUUCUCAAGCGCUAAGGGCCCCAGAGGAUUCCCUGACACUUAGAGAAGUAACUGCUAAGGCUCCGGAACCCUGGGGGACACCCCAACCUCCCAGCUCCAUCUACCCAUGUAAGUGACUUCCAUACUUCUGGUUCUGGGAGGAGAAUUACCAUCUGGGCUACAUGGACUCUGCCCCUUCCUGGGGUCCUUCCUGGAGCCUUGGUCAUGCACAGACCCCUCCUCUUAUCCAUCUCUUCCUCCACUGGCUCACCACUCACACCUAUCAUCAUUGUUAUUAUUUUUGAAGCAGAGCUGGUACUUACUAAGAGAUCUUAAUAUAGAUUUCUUUUAAGCACAAGGGUGGAAAGAAAGAAAUGUUCUUGACGAGAAAGCAGCACAUACUCCAGGAAGAUAUGUGUAUAGGCUUCUCAAAGGACAGACACACCCCUCCUUAGUUUAUUAAGAAUGCUGUCUUCUUUUACAUCUCCAACCACAACCCAACCCAAACCCAACCUGAACUCAACCACAACCCAACCCAAACCCAACCUGAACUCAACCCAACCCAAACAAACUCAUCAACAAUCUGAAUCCACCCUCAACAGCAACGGAACCUCAAGGCAACCCCAAUCCUACCACAACCUCAACCUCAAACCCACUCCCCCUCAACUCACCUCUCUUAAGGUUGUUCCUAUCAGUGCUUUCUAGAGAAUGCUCUGUGGCACUCUCCAUGAUACCCUGUGGCCUGAGGGACUAAUUCCAUGUCCUUUGGUACGGCCCUCUAGGCUGCCCCCUGAUCUGUCCCCUCUGUCUUUUUAGCUACCACGUCUAUGGUUUUGGUCCUUCAUUCCUCCAGGACCCUGUGUGUGUACAGGCCUUCUCCUGGAUACCUGUCACAGAGAGCUGCAGGCAGCACAUGGAAGCAACUGCAAGAAAAGUUCAUUGUUGUCAGCAAAGCUAGACGUCAGACAUGGAGCUCCAGGAUUUGGAGUUUACCCUGCUGGGUCUCUGUCCUGGGGCAAGCGUAUUCAAACCACCACACCCUCAGAAACUGUAAGCCUCCAACAAACUCUUCUGUAAGUUGCUUUGUUCAUGGUGUGUUAUCAUAGCAGUAGAAAAAUAACUAAAACACCUGUUCAGCAGCCGCUUUAGGAUGCUGUGCUGAGCUAGCCUCUGCCUCUCUUGCUGUUCCUAUUGCAGGUCUGUUGACCUCUGUGCAUGACUGGCUGAAGUGUGGUCCUUUGCUGUCAUCCACAGAGACUCUUUGCUGCCCCUUGUACCUUUCUUCAAGCACAGUCUCUCAGUGCAGUGCCUGUGGGUGACCCUACUGCAGCAUCUGACUGUGCAGUUCUCUCAGAAAGAGGGGUCUCAGAGCUCCAGUGAGGUUCUAAGAAAGCUCCUGGGCUUCAGGGGCGGUGGCCUCCCUGUUGUGUGUCCCUAGCAGGGCUCCAUGUCAGGCCCACCUAAGUAUUCUCCCAACACCUGGGAGGGCACACAACUUCAGCUCACAGAUUCAGGGGUCAGGAUCUUAGAGUGGAGCUGAGGGGGACAGAGGGUUGGAGUCUAAACCAAUUGGAUUUUCAUGAGUAGGCCCUGUUCUGAGCUAAGGCUGGUCCCAUAGUGACCUAUGGGGCAGACUGGACACUGGCCUAGAGUGUGUCUCAUGUGGCACAGAUGGAGUUUUGCAGAGAACUCCAGUCAUGCCAGCUGGGGGUGUGUGGGCAGGAGGCAGCCAGUGUUGUCCUGACUCAGGGUCUGUGGGGCCGGGGAGUGAGCUGGAUGGCAGGAAGUCCACUAUACAGUGGUCCACUGCAUAGCCUGUCACUUACAAAGCUCCUUGCUCUCUCUCUCUCUCUCUCUCUCUCUCUCUCUCUCUCUCUCUCUCUCUCUCUCUCUCUGUGUGUGUGUGUGUUUGCACAUGUGUGAGCAUGUGUUUCAAGAGGAUUACAAUUACUAUUCAUAGUCACUGCAAGCUUUGGAAGUGCCCACCAUCUAUGGUUCUUACUUUUGUCAUCUACAAAAUAGGAAAGUAAAGAGCCCAGUCCCCCAAAGUUUGGGGACACAUCCUUUGCAAGGAUAGCUGUGACUGAAACCUGAUGGUGUCCAGAGUUUUUUUGCCCUCCUGCGUCAUCAAGGCAGAGAAAGGAUGUCCAGUCUCCAUCUAGAACUGCAAGGGAACACUCAUGCACUUGUUGCCUGUGCAACCAUGAAAAGGGGACCAGAUGCACCAGCAUUGUCCUGAGACACUGAACUGUGCCCAGCACCUACCACUUGACUGUAUGGUAGAUAGAAGCUAACAGCUAGAAGCUGUGAUUGGAGAUUAGGAUCAAGGUAAGGAGAAAUUAGUUAUGAGAAAAUAGGUGAGGGAGAAGAAUCGUGACUAGUGUCCAGGAUCAGAAAGGGAAAGUCAGCUACCCGAUGUCACACAGCAAGAACUCACAGCAACAGGGAAGUAGGAUGGAAAAAAGGGAAAAAGGAAGUGGAGGAGAGAAGGAAGGAAGGAAGGAAGGAAGGAAGGAGAGAAGUGAACUUAGCAUCUCCAUUGUAACGUGCAUGUCAUGUGCACUGACUGAGCCCUCCAAGCCCGAAGACAGGAGGAGCGACUUGCUUUGGGUCUGCUCGCUUUCCCCUCUAUGGACGCUCAGCUGGCAGCUUGCUUGUUGAGACCACACACUUGGUUACUGGGAAGCCAGCAUUUGAACCCAGGCCCAAUGCCAAAGCCAGUGUUCUUAGCGGCACAGCUGCCUCACACCAGACUUUGUGUGUGGUUUGUGUGAAAGAGCAUAACCGUGGAUGCCACUUGGGAGCCCUGGAGAGCAUCAGGACAGAUGGCCAAGCCGGUUGUUGGAGACCCGCUGUCAGGCUUCUCCACCCCUGUCAACCAGGUGUGAAAGCCUUCUUUUUCUGGGGGUGCAGCAUUAGGGUUGGAAGAUGUGUGCCCCUCGGACCUCAGUUUCCCCAGAUGUAGAUGCUGUUAGAUUUGUGAGGGGCUGAGCAAUUCCCCCUUCCUCCUGCCUCAAGGGGGUCCUGAGUAGAAAUUUGUUGGGGGGGAUCUUUUUGGGCCCCUCUUCUUCCUACCAAGGUGUGAGCCACCCAGGGACACGGGGCUCGCUGUCAUGGCAACCUUGUGUUGCGAAAUGACGUAAUUGGAGUUCCAAACUUGUGAAAUCAAAUACAACAUCCACAAACACAGUCCAGGGGUCGGCAUGGCAACCAUGGGGCACAGGGACAGGCAGGCGCUAGGCCUGCAGCAGUCAGUCUGGCCGAGCCACCCAGGUGGGCACGCUACAAGACCCUCUGGGGCACCCCUGCACCCCCUCUCAGCCAUUGCUUCUCUCUCUUCACUUCUUUGGAGAAUCGUGUGCCCCAAGGUGCAAAGACGUCAGUUUUGGCUCUGCUCUGCCCCACACUAGCUGUGCCCUUGCCCUGUGACCCUGCCUAACUCACCUGUCAAAGGGACUUGGUCAUCCACCCAGUUAGGCAAGCAUCAGGCUGGGUGGCUGGGGAGUUGUCUGGCUCCGUGUCUGCUGUCUGUCUGCUCCACUGCCCCUUUCUUUGUCCGCUAUAAACAGACCCAGGAGUGACGGGGCCUGGAACGUGGAUACUAGCUGAUCCUCAGGCCCUGAUAGCUUCCCCUGUGGUCUCUUACGGGAGGGAAGGCUUCUCUCUCAUAUAGGCCAUGGCUACCUGCUUCAGUGUCACCUGGAAGCCAAGUUGAAAAAUGCAGGGGUCUCUUCCACCUUAGGAGAACCCCAGGGACAGCCUGCAACAGGCACACCUGGACUCUUCUGAGAACCAUCUGCCUGGCUCUAAUUGGCUUUUAAGAUCCGAGUACCUGGCUGUGAUUGGUUGGCAUGAUGUAGGUGCCUGGCUCUGAUUGGCUACCUUCUGGGACUUAGGUUUUGCAGCAGUGCUCCCUCCAGACCAGUUGAGCCUUCUCAGUCUUCCCUUAGUCAAUAGAGUUUUUUAGCCCUGAGUGACACCCUUACAUGCCUCAGUGUCAGAGGUAGGUCUUAGCAGCAGAGAUCCCCUAUCCCACAGACACUUAGCCCCAUCACUCAGUUGCUACCAUGUAGUAAAGACAGUCCUGCAUCUCCUGAAUUGCUGUGGGGUCAGGCAAGGAUGGCAAGAACAUACCUUAGGGGACAUGUAAGCACCAGACACCAGGCUGGGUGCUAUGCCCAGUAACUUAUUUGCUCCUUAGUUCAUAGUGCUUGGUGCAGGGUCCCUCCAGCACCAAGGCCAGGCACUGUCAUGGUGUCUUGGCAAAGGCCUCCAAAGAAAGCCAAGCAUCUAUGCUGCAGUUGUCUAUCCCAAACAUCUGCUCUUAGCCAGGGAACAUGGAGACUGGGGCCCCACUUGCUGCUCCUAGUGAGGUGGGGGCAGUUCUUCUCCACUGCAAGCUGAGGAAACAGACUCAGGUGAGGACUCACAGAGAUGCACUCAGCAAGUAACCAUAAUGAAAUCUGAGCCUCCUAGGUUACAGCCAAGGACACCCCAGCUCUUGAUCCAGUGCUCUUCACGAUGAGCUUCAGCCUGAGAUGUGCACUGGCUACGUGCAUCCUACAUCUGCCUCUGACCGUUCUGAGGACCCCAGGCACCCAUCCUGUCCCAGCUUCUUGGAGUUGCCAAGUUUCCCCUGGAGACAUGGAAAUGGCCUUACCUGUCUGGCAAUGAGGACUGCAUUGAGGCCCAGCAAGGUGCCGGGAAAUUGGAGCCUUCGGAAGCAGGUGCGCUGGUGGCCAAGGGUGGUAUGGCAGAGGGUUCCUCUCAUACGACCUCAGCCACCCUCAACCACCUCCCAUAUACAAACAUGCCAGCUGCUGUGGGAAGAGGGUAGUGAACAAGGAGAGAGGAGGAGGGCAGCUGGAAGCCACCAACGUAGUCAAGCUCGGAGGGGUGGGGCCUGGACCAGGACCAGGACCAGGACCAGGUCCAGGACCAGGACCAGGUCCAGGACCAGGACCAGGUCCAG
Mus musculus (house mouse) is the source of this 7773-nucleotide long non-coding RNA. RefSeq annotates it as predicted gene, 31820. Lineage: Eukaryota; Metazoa; Chordata; Mammalia; Rodentia; Muridae. The transcript is spliced from 5 exons. The record is from RefSeq and is a predicted model, not a curated record.